Molecule: long non-coding RNA, 466 nt
Filed under: Salmo salar (Atlantic salmon)
Lineage: Eukaryota; Metazoa; Chordata; Actinopteri; Salmoniformes; Salmonidae
Description: lncRNA (ENSSSAG00000084180.1)
Source: RNAcentral
CUCAAUGAUGAGAGAAAAAUGCGUGAGAAACGGCUGACAGGUUCCCGACUCUCCAGCGAAGCAUUCCGGAGAAGACCCCUAGCUACUCACUCUGUCUGCUGCUGUGGAUAUUCGCCCUGCGCCUCUUGUGGUUCACGAGUAGAGGUGUCUGGACCAGAAAGACCCAGAGCCCUCACAGAUUAGAGGGAAACAAGAGCUCAGUCAGUCAACAAGUCAGGACAAAAAGCAACUUCAAGAACUGCAGUCUGAUAUCAAUCAUCUCUGUCAGAAAAGUGACUAUGACCAGGAGGACCCCACUCAGUCUUCACAUCUUUACCAUGCCCCAAUUGAGAUAAACAGAGAGAUGGAUUCUCUACUAAGAGACUCAAAUGAACAGAUUGAAACAGUGUCGGAUGAAGAGAGCUAUGGAGAAACAGAACCAAUAUCCAGCUACUACUGUUUUGCAGCUCAGGAUGUAAGAUGUGAA